RNAcentral lists this unclassified non-coding RNA (201 nucleotides) under uncultured Psathyrellaceae. Its description in RNAcentral is "sequence contains ITS2". The record is from RNAcentral. Lineage: Eukaryota; Fungi; Basidiomycota; Agaricomycetes; Agaricales; Psathyrellaceae.
AAUUCUCAACCUCACCCGUUUUCUGAAUGGACUGAGGCUUGGAUGUGGGGGUUUGUGCAGGCUGCCUUCUUGUGCGGUCUGCUCCCCUGAAAUGCAUUAGCGAGUUCAUACUGAACUUCCGUCUAUUGGUGUGAUAAUUAUCUACGCCGUGGACGAGGUUUAGACUUGCUUCUAACCGUCCGCAAGGACAAUACCUUGACA